Phodopus roborovskii (desert hamster) is the source of this 150-nucleotide small nuclear RNA. RefSeq annotates it as U12 minor spliceosomal RNA. The record is from RefSeq and is a predicted model, not a curated record. Lineage: Eukaryota; Metazoa; Chordata; Mammalia; Rodentia; Cricetidae. The transcript has a single exon.
AUGCCUUAAACUUUUGAGUAAGGAAAAUGAAGAUGCGUGGUGAGCCCAAGUCCUCACUGCUAAUGUGAGAUGGAAUUUUUGAGUGAGUAAAGGUUGCCCCUAAUACGCCCCACCCACUUUGAGGGAUGCCUGGGUGCAGUAGUCUACCUG